RNAcentral lists this ribosomal RNA (331 nucleotides) under Cryptocellus sp. n. 1 LRB-2021. RNAcentral's name for it is "partial small subunit ribosomal RNA". Lineage: Eukaryota; Metazoa; Arthropoda; Arachnida; Ricinulei; Ricinoididae. The record is from RNAcentral.
AUCUUGAGUAGUAAAUGUUGUACAGUAAACUUAAAGAAUUUUGGCGGUUUUAAUUACCUAAUCAGAGGAACUUGUUCUGUAAUCGAUAAUCCACGUUUUACUUUACCUUUAAAUUUUAAUGGUUUGAAUACCACUGUUUUUAAUUUUUUAGUUAUAUAAAAUUAUUUAUUUAUAAAAUAAGAAAUACAAGUCAAGGUUCAGCUUAAAAAGGAAUGAAAUGAGUUACAAUAUAAGUAUUUAUUGGAUUUCUUUUCUAAUUGAUUAGUAUGAUAUUGGAUUUGAUAGUAAUUUGUGAUUAAUAUGCAUUAAUGAAUUAAGUUUAUUAAAAUGU